RNAcentral lists this ribosomal RNA (430 nucleotides) under uncultured bacterium. RNAcentral's name for it is "bacterial SSU rRNA". It matches the Rfam family "Bacterial small subunit ribosomal RNA", at positions 343 to 789 of the family's 1533-position model. The record is from RNAcentral.
GGGUGGCAGCAGUGGGGAAUAUUGGACAAUGGGGGCAACCCUGAUCCAGCCAUGCCGCGUGAGUGAUGAAGGCCUUAGGGUUGUAAAGCUCUUUCACCGGUGAAGAUAAUGACGGUAACCGGAGAAGAAGCCCCGGCUAACUUCGUGCCAGCAGCCGCGGUAAUACGAAGGGGGCUAGCGUUGUUCGGAUUUACUGGGCGUAAAGCGCACGUAGGCGGAUAUUUAAGUCAGAGGUGAAAUCCCAGGGCUCAACCCUGGAACUGCCUUUGAUACUGGGUAUCUUGAGUAUGGAAGAGGUGAGUGGAAUUCCGAGUGUAGAGGUGAAAUUCGUAGAUAUUCGGAGGAACACCAGUGGCGAAGGCGGCUCACUGGUUCAUUACUGACGCUGAGGUGCGAAAGCGUGGGGAGCAAACAGGAUUAGAUACCCCUG